ACUUAUGUAGUUUAAUAAAAACGAUAGUUUUGUAAACUAUAGUCGGUUCGCCUGUGAGUA
RNAcentral lists this transfer RNA (60 nucleotides) under Hyalella tiwanaku. RNAcentral describes it as "tRNA-Thr". Lineage: Eukaryota; Metazoa; Arthropoda; Malacostraca; Amphipoda; Hyalellidae. The record is from RNAcentral.